This 668-nucleotide non-coding RNA is filed under the name Pongo abelii (Sumatran orangutan). Lineage: Eukaryota; Metazoa; Chordata; Mammalia; Primates; Hominidae. The record is from RNAcentral.
GAAGGUGAUGUCUAAGGCCACCAAACUGUCCACUGUGAAGAUAAACCGUGCAUGUUUAGUAGGAGGUGGCUCCCCUUCCCUGUGGGGAGUCCCACUGCUUCCCUGGCCUGGGUGUUCUCUGCUGUGCCUUUGGACCCUUCUUCGGAAAAGCACAUGAACUCUUUGGAGUCUCCCGUUCCACUUGGUAAAUUUCCUAUAGCCACACACUGAAAGUCCCUGCUGCCCUCCUUCCUCUGAGCUUGUGGGGCCCACAGAUCCCCUGCUCCACUUCCUGCUUUAUUUCAGCUGAUGGAUGACACUCCCUCGUUCUAAUACCAUCUGAAUGCCUGAGCAAUUACAUCUUACAAUCUCAUGAAAAACACAGCAGCUUGUCACGAUGAAUGAUGUUACCGUGAAUAAUGCAGUUUUGAGUUCAAACUCCUUCUUAUUCCAAGAAUGAGUAAAUAUCCCUAUUCCCUCCCCUCCCCAUUGCAUUUGGGUUUGACAUGACAUGAAUCAUUGUGGUUUUACUCCUGGGUAGAAUUGUUUUUCUGUUUUGCAUUGCCAACCAAUGGAAGGACAAAAAAAGGAAACUUACCAACGAGCAGUUUCAGAUGAACUUAAAUUCUCAGAAAUCUUGAAGAAUGAAUGAACUACAACUUUUUGGAGUUGCAAAAAUGUUCAAGUCG